AAAUUCUUGGGAGUCCUGACAGUAUUUUUCAAGAUCCUAUCCCACUCCAAUGCAGACUAUACAGAGGUUUCUCACUGCUAUAUUGCUGUAAUUCCCCUUUUCCCUGACGGUGGAUUGAGUUAGGAGGAGACAGAAAUCAUAGCUGAGGUUUUUAGAACACCUUUUAUUGAUUAAGCAGUUAAUAUCUUUAAGCUGUAAUUAUUAAUAGUAGGUAUAUCAGCUCUCACAAUAUAUUUCCCUAUUCCUGCAGACAGGUAGUCACAAGCACAGUCAUUCACAGCUGCCUGGUUGGAGCUGUAGCUGGGAUUCCAAUACCAGCUGGAUACUCAAAAGAAGAGGAUCAGACCAGUGUCACGCCAGUGGCUUGCAAGUCAGUAAACAGUGAUCACAGACGCUGCCCAAACUUUCUGGCAGAUGUCUGAAGAAUAAGAUGAGCUUUCUCCAGUGGUUUAAAAAGUCUGAGCUCAAUUAUAUCAUGUUUGGAAUGAACUGCAGAACAUUUAUGGAAAUCACUUAGUCUCCAGCUAAUACUACAGUCCUUAAGUCGAACUGUUUUUAGGCCAAGAAUCAUCUCCUGAGGGAUGAAUGCAUUGCAGGUGCUGGAGAGCCAUUCAUCUAG
Molecule: long non-coding RNA, 619 nt
Filed under: Phasianus colchicus (ring-necked pheasant)
Lineage: Eukaryota; Metazoa; Chordata; Aves; Galliformes; Phasianidae
Description: lncRNA (ENSPCLG00000007001.1)
Source: RNAcentral